RNAcentral lists this ribosomal RNA (251 nucleotides) under uncultured bacterium. RNAcentral describes it as "partial 16S ribosomal RNA". It matches the Rfam family "Bacterial small subunit ribosomal RNA", at positions 82 to 334 of the family's 1533-position model. The record is from RNAcentral.
UAAGAGAUGGCGACCGGCGCACGGGUGAGUAACACGUAUCCAACCUGCCGAUAACUCGGGGAUAGCCUUUCGAAAGAAAGAUUAAUACCCGAUGGUAUAAUAAAGCCGCAUGGUUUAAUUAUUAAAGAAUUUCGGUUAUCGAUGGGGAUGCGUUCCAUUAGGCAGUUGGUGAGGUAACGGCUCACCAAACCUUCGAUGGAUAGGGGUUCUGAGAGGAAGGUCCCCCACAUUGGAACUGAGACACGGUCCAA